GUGACCGUACCAAAAACCCCAUCCUGUUUAAGACUUCUGUGCUGCCAAGUGAAAAGGGCAGAUAGCGCCUGGUGGCGAGCGCUUCCCUCCUUCCCCCCAAGUCUUCGCGCGCUCGAACAUCUCCGUUUGGCCUCAUUUUUGUGCUUCGGUGGUAUCUGCACAGCCCAAAUUAGCAGCGAGGAUUCCACGGACGGGGGCCGCCGCCUCCCUCGGCUCCCAGGUGAGGUCCCGGGGCGGGGGGCGGCCGGCAGCGCUCCGGGCUUUCUCCACAUCGCCCCCUCGCCCGGCUCUGCUUGGCCAGGCCGGGGGCUGACCGGAGGUGCGGGGGGAGAAUUUUGGGUUGUAGCGGGACAAUCUGGGGAGUGGGGGAGGAGGGGAGGGGNGGGGGGGGGGGGGCCGUGUCAGCUUCUUUACCCGAACUUCAGUGCAGCACGCCAGAGCUGUUGCGUGUGGCGGCGUGUGCUCAGACAGAUCCAAGGCUCUCGGGAGCAGGGAAAUCCAGGAUUUUUCAUCUGCUGCCUGGUGCAGUCAUCAGGGUGACUCUCGCUGCCGUCAGUGGGUGCUGGAUUUGGCCACUCUAGAAUUAUUGCUCAAACGGGUGGGAGAGGGCUUGGCUGCCCUGAACACCAGUUUUGUGCUUGUGCUCAAACGAGUGAACACUUCUUAUGUGUGUGAGUUUGAACAACGCUUUCUACCUUUUCUAAUUCGGAUAAUUUUAGGGAUGCAUCUGCACAAGUGAAGGUUCCUGUGUCCUUAUGGGCUUCUCACAGGGUAUACAAAAUUGACAGAGGCGCCUCAGUUUGCAUCUAAGGGCACAGGAAGCUUUCACAUGGUAAAACAAACUAUAAAAAUGAAUUGUGUUUUCUUUAAAAUGAUUGCUAUAGAAAUUAGCCAACUGAUUUAGCAGGGUAAAUUGAAAGUAGCCCUUUCUGGCUGAAGUUAAAGUACAUGCAUUUUUACAUAAUAGGAUGGUAUCUUUGGGCUCUGAUUUAACAUGAUGACCUAGGGGUGGUGGUAGAGGCAGGAGGAGGAUUAGGAGUUUGUGCUGCUGGACAGGUAUCCGAGAGCGUGUCCUUCGGAAUACUUCCAUUGUUCAGGCAAGUAUUGCAGCCUCCAGUGUAACAGCUCCAGAUAUUCCUCCUCUCGUGACUGAUCCUGCUUCCAUUUAAGUUGGUAGCAGCAACCACCCACUCCUUUUCUGCAGGAACUGGAUUGGACUGCUAAGGAACGAAGCUAGACUUUGUGCAUAUUAAAACACUGCUUUGAUUUUUGUGUCAAGCUCAUUUCUUUUUCUCUGAAGUUGAUUGAAAACAAACAAAAAGAAACUUGAUAGCCAUAGGUCCUUCAGGUUUUGUCUGUAGAUGAAGCAUUCUUAAAGAGCAUUAAAUACAUCUGUAGGUGCUGAUUUAUUAAGAGAUGUAAUUGUGUUCCUUUAUACACCUGCUCUUUUUAAUGGGAAAGAUGAAAUAGUUUCACAGGGGAAAUAAUAACAUAAAUAUACCAAGUGCUCAGAUUGUCUGCCUGAGAGGCAUCAAGGACUUUGAGAUAAUGUCCUAAUAACAAGGAAACACUCAAACUUCAUAUUCAAAAUUUAUUUUUUUAGCUUCCAUGGAGUACAGCAGGUUUUGUGCAGUAUCUAGUUUGAAGGAUUUUGCCAUCAUUCACACAAGCUGCUUUUAUUUUUUCAAUAAAUAUUUCAUUGGGAAAACA
This is a long non-coding RNA of Cyanistes caeruleus (blue tit), 1710 nucleotides long. The record is from Ensembl. Lineage: Eukaryota; Metazoa; Chordata; Aves; Passeriformes; Paridae.